UAUGUAGGGGGCAAGCGUUGUCCGGAUUUAUUGGGCGUAAAGAGCGUGUAGGCGGCUUGGUAGGUCUUGCGUCAAAACCUGAGGCUCAACCUCAGUUCGCGUGGGAAACCACCUAGCUAGAGUCCGGAAGAGGAGAACGGAAUUCCCAGUGUAGCGGUGAAAUGCGCAGAUAUUGGGAAGAACACCAGUGGCGAAGGCGGUUCUCUGGGACGGUACUGACGCUGAGACGCGAAAGCGUGGGGAGCGAACAGG
This 252-nucleotide ribosomal RNA is filed under the name uncultured bacterium. RNAcentral's name for it is "partial 16S ribosomal RNA". It matches the Rfam family "Bacterial small subunit ribosomal RNA", at positions 524 to 776 of the family's 1533-position model. The record is from RNAcentral.